GGUUUAGCUCAGCGGCAUAAGCGCCUGCCUUGCAAGCAGGCGGUCCGGAGUUCAAUCCCCGGUACCA
Molecule: non-coding RNA, 67 nt
Organism: Cavia porcellus (domestic guinea pig)
Lineage: Eukaryota; Metazoa; Chordata; Mammalia; Rodentia; Caviidae
Source: Rfam